Molecule: transfer RNA, 66 nt
Filed under: human gut metagenome
Rfam family: tRNA
About the family: Transfer RNA (tRNA) molecules are approximately 80 nucleotides in length.
Source: RNAcentral
GGUAUGGUUCAGUUGGUUAGAGCGCUAGGUUGUGGCCCUGGAGGUCAUGGGUUCGAGUCCCAUUAC